CGGCAAGGGUCUGUGUCUUAGCUGGACUUAUUUUUCGUUUAUAUGGGCCGAUGAUGCUGGUCGAUGUGGAAAAAAUAACUGAGUUGUUUGGUGGUGGAGCUACAACAGAGGGCAGCUAUCCACCGGUGUGUGACAGAAAGGACAUGCCGCGAACGAGACAUACAAGGCGGUGAGGCUACUGCCGAUCGUCCGGUGUUUGCUAACGCGGAGGUCAAUCGUGGAUCAGGGAAAGCGAAGGCAGGAGCGUGAGGUGAACUGAAUUUCAGGUAAGAAGUUAUGACCUGCACUCUAUUUGGGUCAGAUAUAAACCGAGUUUAGGUGUAAUUUAUUUUCGUUGACCUUUUACAAUCGUACUGCCACGGGAGUUUAUAUACAGCUGUGUGCGCACUAAGUUACUGACGUUGGACUUUAUUUUAUUCAUUAGGGUUAGUUCAUAGAGUUGCCGUGCCGUACAAACGGAAUCGUCCCACAUUCAGAGAAAACAUUGAUUUAUUCUGUCGUUACGAAGCCUCCCCUGUCAUUCUCUCGCGUGUUGAAACGUCAGUCAUGAAACUGAUCAAUGAUCGGCUGUUCGCUCUUAUUUAUCGCGCUAAAC
Molecule: long non-coding RNA, 595 nt
Organism: Oreochromis aureus
Lineage: Eukaryota; Metazoa; Chordata; Actinopteri; Cichliformes; Cichlidae
Source: Ensembl